AGUGAACGCUGGCGGUAGGCCUAACACAUGCAAGUCGAACGGCAGCACAGUAAGAGCUUGCUCUUACGGGUGGCGAGUGGCGGACGGGUGAGGAAUACAUCGGAAUCUACUUUUUCGUGGGGGUUAACGUAGGGCAACUUACGCUCAUACCGCAUACGACCUACGGGUGAAAGCAGGGGAUCUUCGGAACUUGCGCGAUUGAAUGAGCCGAUGUCGGAUUAGCUAGUUGGCGGGGUAAAGGCCAACCAGGGCGACGAUCCGUAGCUGGUCUGAGAGGAUGAGCAGCCACACUGGAACUGAGACACGGUCCAGACUCCUACGGGAGGCAGCAGUGGGGAAUAUUGGACAAUGGGCGCAAGCCUGAUCCAGCCAUACCGCGUGGGUGAAGAAGGCCUUCGGGUUGUAAAGCCCUUUUGUUGGGAAAGAAAAGCAGCAGGUUAAUACCCCGCUGUUCUGACGGUACCCAAAGAAUAAGCACCGGCUAACUUCGUG
RNAcentral lists this ribosomal RNA (492 nucleotides) under uncultured bacterium. RNAcentral describes it as "partial 16S ribosomal RNA". It matches the Rfam family "Bacterial small subunit ribosomal RNA", at positions 29 to 507 of the family's 1533-position model. The record is from RNAcentral.